GGUAUAGCUCAGUGGUAGAGUGCUUGCCCAGUAUGCAAGAGGUCCUAGGUUCCAUCCCUAGCACC
Molecule: transfer RNA, 65 nt
Filed under: Heterocephalus glaber (naked mole-rat)
Lineage: Eukaryota; Metazoa; Chordata; Mammalia; Rodentia; Bathyergidae
Rfam family: tRNA
About the family: Transfer RNA (tRNA) molecules are approximately 80 nucleotides in length. Their secondary structure includes four short double-helical elements and three loops (D, anti-codon, and T loops). Further hydrogen bonds mediate the characteristic L-shaped molecular structure. tRNAs have two regions of fundamental functional importance: the anti-codon, which is responsible for specific mRNA codon recognition, and the 3' end, to which the tRNAs corresponding amino acid is attached (by aminoacyl-tRNA synthetases). tRNAs cope with the degeneracy of the genetic code in two manners: having more than one tRNA (with a specific anti-codon) for a particular amino acid; and 'wobble' base-pairing, i.e. permitting non-standard base-pairing at the 3rd anti-codon position.
Source: Rfam by way of RNAcentral